RNAcentral lists this transfer RNA (73 nucleotides) under Solegnathus hardwickii (Hardwicke's pipefish). Its description in RNAcentral is "tRNA-Trp". It matches the Rfam family "tRNA". Rfam says of the family: Transfer RNA (tRNA) molecules are approximately 80 nucleotides in length. Their secondary structure includes four short double-helical elements and three loops (D, anti-codon, and T loops). Further hydrogen bonds mediate the characteristic L-shaped molecular structure. tRNAs have two regions of fundamental functional importance: the anti-codon, which is responsible for specific mRNA codon recognition, and the 3' end, to which the tRNAs corresponding amino acid is attached (by aminoacyl-tRNA synthetases). tRNAs cope with the degeneracy of the genetic code in two manners: having more than one tRNA (with a specific anti-codon) for a particular amino acid; and 'wobble' base-pairing, i.e. permitting non-standard base-pairing at the 3rd anti-codon position. Lineage: Eukaryota; Metazoa; Chordata; Actinopteri; Syngnathiformes; Syngnathidae. The record is from RNAcentral.
AGAAGUUUAAGUUAACACAACAGACUGAGGGCCUUCAAAGCCCUAAGUAGCGGUGAAAAUCCCCUAACUCCUG